Molecule: small RNA, 148 nt
Filed under: Microvirga vignae
Lineage: Bacteria; Pseudomonadati; Pseudomonadota; Alphaproteobacteria; Hyphomicrobiales; Methylobacteriaceae
Description: Alphaproteobacterial sRNA BjrC1505
Rfam family: Alphaproteobacterial sRNA BjrC1505
Source: Rfam by way of RNAcentral
GACAGGGUUAACGCGGUUUUAAUGAUUUCGGUGUCUCAUGAGGACGUCCAGUUCUCUCCCGCUGGACGUUCCGAGUGGUUCUUCCUCCCACUCUGUUUGACGCCUCCCUGUUGAACUUCCCAAGAGCCGCUUCAGCGGCUCGAUUUUU